RNAcentral lists this ribosomal RNA (253 nucleotides) under uncultured bacterium. Its description in RNAcentral is "partial 16S ribosomal RNA". It matches the Rfam family "Bacterial small subunit ribosomal RNA", at positions 524 to 776 of the family's 1533-position model. The record is from RNAcentral.
UACGUAGGGGGCAAGCGUUAUCCGGAUUUACUGGGUGUAAAGGGUGCGUAGGCGGCAUGGUAAGUCAGAUGUGAAAACUUGGGGCUCAACUUCAAGAUUGCAUCUGAAACUGCUAAGCUAGAGUGUAGGAGAGGAAAGUGGAAUUCCGAGUGUAGCGGUGAAAUGCGUAGAGAUUCGGAGGAACACCAGUAGCGAAGGCGACUUUCUGGACUGUAACUGACGCUGAGGCACGAAAGCGUGGGGAGCGAACAGG